GUAACUUAAUAGUAAACCUAACUGUUUAACUUAAACAACGUUUGACGUAACUAAAAAAAAAUAUUAUUUGUAUUUGUAACUAAAACGAACACUUUAACUUAUCCAAUAAAUACACAGCAAUAUUAUGUCAACUGAAAUUUUGAUUAUGAUUAAUAAUUUAUUCAUCUUCAUUCACAGGAUGUUCGGAUACUGGCAAAUUAUUCCAAAAGUUCAUUCUGGUAGUGGGAAUAAUUCCACCAAGUCGUUUUAUAAGAGUGUCCUUCCUAUUUUGACUUAUGCCACGAAAGUCGUUCUUGCAUUUAGGCUUUUCCAAACCAUUCUUUUGGUGUUUUGCUACUAAAAAAUGUAAUGCUAUAGCCUCUUGUUCAUUAAAUUUGCAUUUGUACGACAAUGACGGAUUUAUUCUGCUUAAUUUAUACUGAGAACUUUUGUCUUCCCAAUUGAAAAAAUUGUUAAUUUUCAUUUCAAUUAAUUUUACUUUGGACGAGUUAGCUUUUUGAACAGCAUCUUUAUAACCUUCGAAAUCAAACACCUUUUUCCGGUGUUAAAUCAAUUUGACGUAUCUACUUCAUUGUUAAGUAAAUAUGUCGCAUGUACGCUAUGUUAGGUUUAUUUGUCGUAUUUGAACUGCAAAUACGACAUAUAUACCUAAAAUAUGCAGUUAGGACAAUUUCGCUUAACAAAGUGAGCAUAAUUUCACAUACGACAAAGAAAUAAUAUAGUUUGCUGGCCGGUAAUGAAUGUUUUACGACAUUUUGAUCUAACAAAUAGAUGUAAAACUUUGAUAUGAUGUGAAAUACCAGAAAAUCUCAAAAUUGCCGAAAGAUGCAGAUACGACUCUUAUUCUUAACACGGCAGUAUACGUUGCUCUUGACUUAAACGAUUCAUGAUGAAAUGUCAAAGUAUACUUAACACAACUGACGCUUGAUCCGCGUUUUGACACAUACCAUUUUGCGUACAUGGCCCACUAAACUUCUAUCACUUCUAUUGGUAGACCCAAUAUUUUGUAUGGAAUCGUUUUCCUUGAAGCGUCGUGACUCGAAGUCGCAACGGCUGCGUCUCGACUGCUCAAAAACAUGUCGAGACGCGAACGUAGACCCUAGCCGUCUAUACAUCAGUUUAAUAUAAGCAGAGUUUAGCUGAAGAUAAUAACACAAAAUGUCGAAAAAAUUGACAGAUGCUGAAGAUGAAAUAUUGAUUUAUCAAGUACGUGAAUAUCCUUAUAUUUAUGACCAUGAAAAUAAAGACUUUAAAGAUUACCAAAUUCAGGAAAAUGGAAAGAAAUUGCUGCAAUUUUAUCCAAGAAUCCCGAAGAAUGCAAAAUUCGCUGGACAUAUAUUCGCGAUAAUUAUUUUAAAAAUAAAAGAAAGCAAAAGUUAGGAACUGGUUCGGCGGCAUCAUCCCGACCUACCAAGUGGACACUGUUGGAACAUUUGAAAUUUUUAGAAUUGGUGAAGACUGAACGAAGGCGACUUCAAAACUUUGAUGAGAGUCAAAAUGACAAUAAUUUACAGUCACAAACUUAUGAUGAUAAUACGACCGAUUCAGAAUUACAGAUAGAUAACGAAAUUGAUGACGUCCUGCAAAAAGAUCAAAACCAAAUAUGGGCACAAGUCGAUCAAAUACUCCCAGCAGUAAAUCAAACACUCCAUCACUAUCAGGAAGAUUUGUUAAAUCCACAACAGCAAAAUCAAAACUACUGCAAAAUUUAAAAGAAAGGUCAAAAGAGCGCAUGGAAAUGUAUUCGAAACUCGUAGAUAAUCAGAAUAAAGACAAAGUUGAUUUGUUUAUGAGGAGCAUGGCUCUAAUGUUAAAGAAAUUACCUCCUAAUUUAAUUAAUGAAGCAAUAUUAAAAAUUUUGACCAUAAUAACAAAUCUCCAGGCGUCAAUGACUAAUCCAGAGCAGCCACAAAAUCCCUGUUAACCAGUGCAAAUGACUUCAAGUCCUCAACAAAUAGUAUAUUUUCAAAUGCCAGUUCAACUAGAAGAUAUUCCAAAUGAAUCAGUUAACACUCCUCAACCAUCAACAUCUUCAGUGAACCCACAGGACAACUACAGAACGAAAAACAAAUAUUUCCAACUAUGAAGAAUAUAUAUUUUUUUAGAAACAGAAUUGUAUUGUUUGAGUUUUCUUGGUGAUAAUAAAUAGUUUUUGUUCUCAUUUUAAA
Molecule: unclassified non-coding RNA, 2168 nt
Filed under: Anthonomus grandis grandis
Lineage: Eukaryota; Metazoa; Arthropoda; Insecta; Coleoptera; Curculionidae
Description: uncharacterized LOC126741450
Source: RNAcentral